GCGAACGCUGGCGGCAGGCCUAACACAUGCAAGUCGAACGGAUCCUUCGGGAUUAGUGGCGGACGGGUGAGUAACACGUGGGAACGUGCCCUUUGGUUCGGAACAACUCAGGGAAACUUGAGCUAAUACCGGAUGUGCCCUUCGGGGGAAAGAUUUAUCGCCAUUGGAGCGGCCCGCGUCUGAUUAGCUAGUUGGUGAGGUAACGGCCCACCAAGGCGACGAUCAGUAGCUGGUCUGAGAGGAUGAUCAGCCACACUGGGACUGAGACACGGCCCAGACUCCUACGGGAGGCAGCAGUGGGGAAUCUUGCGCAAUGGGCGAAAGCCUGACGCAGCCAUGCCGCGUGAAUGAUGAAGGUCUUAGGAUUGUAAAAUUCUUUCAGCGGGGACGAUAAUGACGGUACCCGCAGAAGAAGCGCCGGCUAACUUCGUG
Molecule: ribosomal RNA, 432 nt
Filed under: uncultured bacterium
Lineage: Bacteria
Description: partial 16S ribosomal RNA
Rfam family: Bacterial small subunit ribosomal RNA
Source: RNAcentral